RNAcentral lists this ribosomal RNA (493 nucleotides) under uncultured bacterium. Its description in RNAcentral is "bacterial SSU rRNA". It matches the Rfam family "Bacterial small subunit ribosomal RNA", at positions 29 to 518 of the family's 1533-position model. The record is from RNAcentral.
AACGAACGCUGGCGGCGUGCCUAACACAUGCAAGUCGUGCGAGAAAGUUCCUUCGGGAGCGAGUAAAGCGGCGCACGGGUGAGUAACACGUAGGUAACCUGCCCCCCAGUCUGGAACAACUAGAGGAAACUCUAGCUAAUGCCGGAUGAGACCACGAUCCCUUCGGGGGUUGCGGCCAAAGAUGGCCUCUACUUGUAAGCUAUCGCUGAGGGAUGGGCCUGCGGGCCAUUAGCUUGUUGGUGAGGUAACGGCUCACCAAGGCUGUGAUGGCUAGCUGGUCUGAGAGGAUGACCAGCCACACUGGGACUGAGACACGGCCCAGACUCCUACGGGAGGCAGCAGUGGGGAAUAUUGGACAAUGGGCGCAAGCCUGAUCCAGCCAUGCCGCGUGAGUGAUGAAGGCCCUAGGGUUGUAAAGCUCUUUCGACGGGGACGAUAAAUGAACGGUACCCGUAAGGAAGAAGCCCCCGGCUAACUUCGUGCCAGCAGCCGC